RNAcentral lists this ribosomal RNA (253 nucleotides) under uncultured bacterium. RNAcentral describes it as "partial 16S ribosomal RNA". It matches the Rfam family "Bacterial small subunit ribosomal RNA", at positions 524 to 776 of the family's 1533-position model. The record is from RNAcentral.
UACGUAGGGGGCAAGCAUUAUCCGGAUUUACUGGGUGUAAAGGGAGCGUAGACGGCAGCGCAAGUCUGGAGUGAAAUGCCGGGGCCCAACCCCGGAACUGCUUUGGAAACUGUGCAGCUCGAGUGCAGGAGAGGUAAGCGGAAUUCCUAGUGUAGCGGUGAAAUGCGUAGAUAUUAGGAGGAACACCAGUGGCGAAGGCGGCUUACUGGACUGUAACUGACGUUGAGGCUCGAAAGCGUGGGGAGCAAACAGG